This 71-nucleotide transfer RNA is filed under the name Loxodonta africana (African savanna elephant). It matches the Rfam family "tRNA". Rfam says of the family: Transfer RNA (tRNA) molecules are approximately 80 nucleotides in length. The record is from Rfam by way of RNAcentral. Lineage: Eukaryota; Metazoa; Chordata; Mammalia; Proboscidea; Elephantidae.
GCAGUGGUGGUUCAGUGGUAGGGUUUUUGCCUUUCAUGCAGGAGACUUGGAUUCUAUUCCUGGCCAAUGCA